This 794-nucleotide ribosomal RNA is filed under the name Lepraria normandinoides. RNAcentral's name for it is "SSU rRNA". It matches the Rfam family "Bacterial small subunit ribosomal RNA", at positions 368 to 1209 of the family's 1533-position model. The record is from RNAcentral. Lineage: Eukaryota; Fungi; Ascomycota; Lecanoromycetes; Lecanorales; Stereocaulaceae.
AUGUAUAGCAAUAGCUGAUUGCACCAACAAAUGGUUGAUGCAAUAUUGACUCUGUCAAAUAAAAUUCUAGGUAGAAUUAUGAUAAUGACAUUGUCUGCCUAUAUGUCUUGACCAAAUUACGUGCCAGCAGUCGCGGUAAUACGUAGAAGACUAGUGUUAUUCAUCUUUAAUAGGUUUAAAGGGUACCUAGACGGUAAAUCAAGCCUUCACAGGGACUAAUUUACUAGAGUUACUUACGAGGGGGUAUUAAAGUACUGCAGGUGUAGAGAUGAAAUUCUGUCAUACCUCUUUUCAAAAGAAAAAUUAUGGCACAGGUAUAGGUGAAAGCAUCCCCUUAUGUGAUAACUGACGUUGAAGGACGAAGGCUUUGUGUCGCGAACAGGAUUAGAUACCCCAGUAGUCAAAGCAGAAAAUGAUGAAUGUCAUAGAUUAGAUAUAUAGUUUAUUCUAUAAAUGAAAAUGUAAGCAUUCCACCUCAAGAGUAAUUUGGCAACAUUGGAACUGAAAUCAUUAGACCGUUUCUGAAACCAGUAGUGAAGUAUGUUGUUUAAUUUGAUGAUCCGCAAAAAACCUUACCACAAUUUGAAUAUUUGUAUCUAUCUUUUUGUACGUAAAAAAAUAAAAAGGUAAUAUAUUUACAAGCGUUGCACGGCUGUCUUCAGUUAAUGUCGCGAGACUUUGGUUAGUUCCAUUUAAUUAACGUAAACCCUUACUUUAUUUUUAUAUGAAGUAGUUCCCCGCUAUAUUGGAUAUGAUAACAGGGACUAGGACAAGUCAUCAUGGCCUUAAUAUUG